RNAcentral lists this long non-coding RNA (205 nucleotides) under Ictidomys tridecemlineatus (thirteen-lined ground squirrel). RNAcentral describes it as "lncRNA (ENSSTOG00000029840.1)". The record is from RNAcentral. Lineage: Eukaryota; Metazoa; Chordata; Mammalia; Rodentia; Sciuridae.
GCAGACUUUCAGGGUUUCAAGAGACUGAGAUUGGCUUGAAAUGAUGUGCAGAGAGGGAUUAGCGGGAAUGGGCCUGCAGGCCUGGCAGGUCUGAAAGAGGAUCUGAAGAAACAGUGACAAGGAAGAAAACCAACUUCUACUUUGCACUGACCAUGUGACAGUGAAGACAGCCUCUUCCAGAUCAAUGAGCAUCCCCUCAGGCCUA